UGUGGUCGUCGUGUCAACUCUGUUCGCGCCUUUUUAUAGAAUCGCUUAACACACACUCCAUGUUGUUCAGCAGGGAAAUAAAACUAAGAAUACAAAUAGAACGGUUAUGGGAGCUUUAAUAAAGAAACAAGUUUCAAAUUUGGAAAUGUUAGCUCCUGCUAUAGCAUUUAUCAUAUUUUAGGCCAGAUCCAGCCAUCAUAACUACAAGAUGUGCCAGUUUUGCUUGUUCUGGUAUUCACCUGUCAUCAGCAACAAUUUCAGUGUCAUCGCUUGGGCAUCCCGUUUGAUUGGAGAAACCAUUGAUGUCGGUCGAGUUACCGAAGUCUUCUUCCCCUUUCUUUAAAUCCCCUCUGUCAUUGUGUACACCCAUGUGUGUGUGGGGGUAUUCACGAGGACAUCCCUUUUCCUGUCCCGCCUGGUGUUCAUUCAACUUUUCAGCGGAUCGAGCACUUGUAGAUGCCUGGCCGUAUUUCCCAGGCUUAAAGGUAGGAAAAAUGUUUCUAUAUUCUUCCUUUGUGACUAUUUGGUGUUAAAUCGUAGUACGAUUAUUCCUGGGCUAGGCGGUUGACUGGAAUUGUUUCCUCGUUUUGUUUAUAUUCAGUCAGGAUUAAUUAACUCAUUUGUAGAACGACUACAAAUCAGGCCGUGUUUUGUACCUCAACAGUUUGUCUGUGGAUAAACUAUCAGAUUGAAAAAUAUUUUAACUUUAAAGACUUCAAGCAAAGUGCAACUAAAAAAUGUUAUGACCAAAAGGGUCGCCCCACUGGCACCACCUCGUAAGGCUAAGAUAUUAAAUCGGCUGUCCCAAUUCACAAUUCUACGACAUCGUAGUUUAAAUCUACUGCUAUCGUGUCAUCGUCAUCUGCCUCCCCCUCUCUCCCCGUGUCCACGUUAGUUCAACACCCACUCGUUUCGCCUACUUCCGUUUCUUAGACUUCUCUCUUCGUUCUCCACCAAUCUCCGGGAGUGCCGUUCUCAUUUGCCACUAGUUUUUCUCUCGUUCUGUCAUAUCUGUCCCUCGUUUUAUCUUGCUUCAUUUUUUUUUUUUAAAUUCCCUGACCACAACGUUCUUCAAUCUUGUCCUAUUUCUGACUCGCAACACAUUUCUUUUGCCGUGUUGUCUUUGUUCACAUUUCUUUCAGAUUUUCUUUGAAGUCAUUUUUCUCCAAGGCAAUUUAUUGGCGUCGUCCAUUUUUUCUAUGGCAUUGCUACUGUUAAUGUAAUUAACGUAUGUUGGGCAGCGCUCGUUUGCUAGGCAACGCAAAGCAAAUAAAAGAAAAUCGUACCUUAUAGCCUUUCUCCAUCACGAAA
Daphnia pulicaria is the source of this 1311-nucleotide long non-coding RNA. RefSeq lists it as uncharacterized. The record is from RefSeq and is a predicted model, not a curated record. NCBI's taxonomy places the organism in Eukaryota, Metazoa, Arthropoda, Branchiopoda, Diplostraca, Daphniidae. The transcript has 3 exons.